UAGGGAAUCUUCGGCAAUGGACGAAAGUCUGACCGAGCAACGCCGCGUGAGUGAAGAAGGUUUUCGGGUCGUAAAGCACUGUUGGUAGAGAAGAACGUUGGUGAGAGUGGAAAGCUCAUCAAGUGACGGUAACUACCCAGAAAGGGACGGCUAACUACGUGUCAG
RNAcentral lists this ribosomal RNA (165 nucleotides) under uncultured bacterium. Its description in RNAcentral is "partial 16S ribosomal RNA". It matches the Rfam family "Bacterial small subunit ribosomal RNA", at positions 355 to 511 of the family's 1533-position model. The record is from RNAcentral.